Long non-coding RNA from Orcinus orca (killer whale), 16316 nucleotides. RefSeq lists it as uncharacterized. Lineage: Eukaryota; Metazoa; Chordata; Mammalia; Artiodactyla; Delphinidae. The record is from RefSeq and is a predicted model, not a curated record. The transcript has 5 exons.
GCUCGAACCCAUGUCCCCUGCAUUGGCAGGUGGACGCUUAACCACUGCGCCACCAGGGAAGUCCCAAUUUUUGCUGUUUUAUAGUAUUCCAUUUACUCUCAAAGCCACACUAUUUGAUUGUCCUAUGACUAAACUACCCAGCAUGAAGGAUUUGACAAUCUUGGGAGGAUCCUUGUGGUUGACUUAUUAUUGUUGUGAUUAUCGUAACAACAGCACUACAGACUUCUAAGUGUGUCUCCACCUAUGAUCUCACUUCUGUGGUUAGACCUCACCUCUAGCCCCUGGGAAUUUCUUCUGUGAACCCAGCAGGAUGACAUCCCUUAAGUCAAAUUCCAAAGCUUUGAAGCAGAUCAGCAGAUCAGGGCCCCCUAAUGACUGAUUACACACAGCUCUGACCCUACACAGCUUCAAGCUUGUUGUUUUCUGCAGCCUUUCAUCCCUGCAUCCUGAAGAUGAGUCCAUUUCUUCCCCAGUGGGAAAGCAAACAGUGGAGUGGGAAGAGUGGUGAUGCAUGUCCCCCAGGCUAUGCAAAGGGGGAACACUCUGAUCUCUGCAGUGACUUGUUUGCAAAUGCCUUUCCCUUCAUGCCAGAGGACCCAAGAGAGAAGUGGGAGUGGGGACAGCUCUGGCACCUGGAAACUGAAGUUUUAUCUGCGUGAAGCAAUACACGAAGUGGUUUCUGCUCAGCAUCUCCAGCUUGUUGUAUUUUAGUACUGCUGUAGCCUCAAACUUGGAUAGUUUCAUACUGUUUGUGAAAGAGUUCUAAAAUAUUUAGAGGUUCUCAGAGAUAGUGGUCUUGGGGUGGAGACACUUCUCCGAAAAGAGUGCUACAAUUCCAGCCAUGAUGGCCUUUUCUCGUUAAUCUCCUUGUUUUCUCUAUCCUGUAUCCGGUUAGAAAUCAGAGUGAGAUUGAAAUGCUACUAGAAAUUAUUUUGGCCAGAGACACAUGAAUAUUUAAUCCUACCAAAGAAUAACCAAGAAAGGCAUAUAGUCAAGGAAGGUUAGCAGAGGAAAACAGAGUAACACUUGAUUGGUAAAUUUGCUUUUGGCCCCUAAUCCCAAUAUAGACAACUCACAUGAAGUUGUCUAUAAAGAGGAGGCCUAUUCCCACCCAACUUCACCAUCCAAAGAUCCCAAACCAUAGUACUGGUGUACCAUGAAAUGGCCAUGAAGAAAUAAGACGGAAGAGAAGGAUAUGACUACAACUUACUUCCUGUGAGCAUGGACCCAGGACCUUAUCACUUUAGCAGCUUGGAAAGAAGACAAAAUAGGGCUUCCCUGAUGGCGCAGUGGUUGAGAGUCCGCCUGCCGAUGCAGGGGACACGGGUUCGUGCCCCGGUCCGGGAAGAUCCCACAUGCCGUGGAGUGGCUGGGCCCGUGAGCCAUGGCCGCUGAGCCUGCGCAUCCGGAGCUUGUGCUCCGCAACGGGAGAGGCCACAACAGUGAGAGGCCCGCGUACCACAAAAAAAAAAAAAAAAAAAAAAAAAGACAAAAUAGCCACACUUCUAUGGAUGCACUAUUGGGAAAAAGCAUGUCCUAAGCAGGGAGAAGGUAAGGGCACCGAGGCACAAACAUACUUGCUAUGCCCAAGGGACAGCUUCUAAUCCAUGGAUUUUAUUAUUUAAUCCAUGAUUCUAGCAGGUGUUUUGGAUUGCAGUUGAUAGCUGUGGACUUAAUAAUUUUAAACGUAGCAGCCUUCAUUUCUUGGUUGCACCAGGACUGUUAAGCACUUUGUUUUGUUUUGCUGACAUACACUUAUUCCUCUUGGCAUAUAAAAUUCUGAACAUCAGUGAUAUCAUUCUUUUCCUAAUCACCAACUGUGAUGGUGGUAUGGUCGGGGGGGACCUUGUAAAGUUACAUAACAAAGCAAGAAAAUCAAAUUAAUACUGGCAAUAAAUUAAAUACUUUGUUGGAAGUCUCUCGGGUUCAUAAUUUGUGUAAAUGAUUUAUAAUUUAAUUGAUCAUCUGCUUUCCUGAUUAUUACAUGAACCACAAGGAAUACUUAAAACUACCCCACUCUGUUAUGGAGAAAAAAAUAACCCAUAUCAAGAGGUCUGAGUCAAUAAUAUCUUGGCAAAACUUGAUCUGAAUGUCAAUUGGCCGCAUCAUUUGGAAGCAGUUUUGGUGUCCAGUUCAGUGGAUUUUUUCCAGUUUCCAUGAAAUACAGAUAUCCAUAGCUCUUCAUCCUGGAAAACUGCAGCUAGAUGUGUUCUGUUUCAGCGUUUCUCAAAAGUAGUUUAUUCCACAAACAUUAGAGGGCAGCAUUUGAUAGGGAUUUCAAAAAGGCCGAAAAUUCUCCACAUCAAACCCGCCUGAAUGCUCCAUUGGGCUAGGCUUUUCUUUCUUCUUUUCUGGUUCCACUUUGAUUUCAAGCCAGGAAAUGCCUUUCCCUGUGGCUUUCACUGCCCACUGUCCUCUUCUUCCUCAAGGGACACAGCGAGCUGGCUGGGGUUCAUAGUGGAUUAGUGCUCAGCAUCUCUUUUCCCUCCUUUUAGGAUGGGGCCAAAGGAAUGCCAAAACUCUAUCUCCCAAUUCCCUUAUAGUUAAGAUUCCAGAUGUGAUUUAAGUUUGUCCAGUCAGAUGCGCUUUUGGGAUGUUUGAAAGAUGGAUAUGUACCUGGAGGGGCACUGUUGCUGCUUCUGUUUCCUGCAGGCAAGCCUGGUGCGGAGGGGUUGGGCUUUCUGGAGUAGCAUGACCAUGUCCAGUCACUAGCUUCAUGGGGGUCAUGGCAAGGGGUCUGAACAUGCAGUUUUUGCUGAUGCCAGUGUAGCAGUGUGACUUUGAAAGCAACAGCAGCAGCGGUGGGGCAUUGUGAUUCCGAUUGCUUUAGGCUGUGAGUUUCUGUAGCUAAGAGUUCCAGGGCAGUUUCUGAUCGUAUCUUCUUGAUUUUACCUGGUUCCUUGGCAGACACUUCUGUUGUCUGGGAGCCAUUUCUGGAGGCCUUGCCUCAAAUUUGCUUCUCCAGAUCUUCCAGAUUUUUCCUUUCUUUUUCUUUCAUUCAUUUAUUUAUUUAAUAGCUGUAUACAUGUAGUAGUUUCAGAAUUGUUUAUGUACACUUGUCUUUAGACUUGCAGUUUCUACUCAUUCCCCAAGUUACUUAGGUCAGUUCUCUUUACCCCCAUACUCUUCCAUGAGAUUUAUCAUAGUUUAUUUAUUUAUUUAAAAUUGAAGUAUAGUUGGUUUACAAUGUUGUGUUAGUUUCUAGUGUACAGCAAAGUGAUUCAGUUUUAUAUAUAUAUAUAUACACACACACACACACACAUACACAUAUGCAUAUAUAUGUGUAUGUAUAUAUAUUCUUUUUCAGAUUCUUUUCUUUUUUAAAAAUAAAUUUAUUUAUUUUAUUUAUUAUUUUUGGCUGUGUUGGGUCUUCGUUGCUGCACGCGGGCUUUCUGUAGUUGCAGCGAGCGGGGGCUACUCUUUGUUAGAGUGUGCGGGCUUCUCAUUGCAGUGGCUUCUCUUGUUGUGGAGCACGGGCUCUAGGUGCCUGGGCUUCAGUAGAUGUGGCUUGCGGGCUUCAGUCGUUGUGGCUCACGGGCUUAGUUGCUCCAUGGCAUGUGGGGUCUUCCCGGACCAGGGCUCGAACCUGUGUCCCCUGCAUUGGCAGGCGGAUUCUUAACCACUGUGCCACCAGGGAAGCCCCCAGAUUCUUUUCCAUUAUAGGUUAUUGAAUAUAGAUCCCUGUGCUAUACAGUAGGUCCUUGUUGUUUAUCGGUUUUAUAUAUAGUAGUGUGUGUCUGUUAAUCCCAGACUCCUAAUUUAUUCUUCCCCCCUGCUUCCCCUUUGGUAACCAUAAGUUUGUUUUUGCUGUCUGUGAGUCUAUUUCUGUUAAAUAAGUUCAUUUAUAUCAUUUUUUUAGAUUCCACAUAUAAAUGAUGUCAUAUGGUAUUUGUCUUUCUCUGUCUGACUUACUUCACUUAGUAUGAUAAUCUCUAGGUCUAUCCAUGUUGCUGCAAAUGGCAUUAUUUCGUUUUUUUUAUGGCUGAGUAAUAUUCUAUUGUGUAUAUAUAGCACAUCUUCUUUAUUCAUUCAUCUGUCGAUGGACGUUUAGGUUGCUUCCAUGUCUUGGCUAUUGUAAAUAAUGCUGCUAUGAACAUUGGGGUGCAUGUAUCUUUUCAAAUUAGAGUUUUUAAGUGUUUUAUACUCACCCAAUUCUCUGCAUUUCUUAAAUGCCUUCCUGCUUAAAAUAGCUAAACUGGUUUCUGUUUUUCUCAAAGUGACCCAUGAAUGAUACAUUGGCUGAAGGUAAGCAAAAGCUACAGCCCAAGAAUAACACUGUCAUCCAUAUCUCUAUGAUCUUUGUAGCCUUCAGGUGAACUGAUGAAAAACCACCAUGAAAUCUCAGGAGUAAUGAGUUACUUCUUCCUGUGUUCCUUGCCCCACUUCUAAAGUACAUAAUUAUAUCCCACCACUGCUACUAUUAUAAUGGAUGUGAGGUGGUAAUCUCUUGGACUGCAUGUUGGCAAUCAAGCUCACAGCCAUAAUUCAUUCAAAAAUCGUUUACCAAGCAGAUGACAGUGAGCCAGUCUAGAAAGGCUUGUUAGGAACUAACCACACUAACAUUAGUGUAGUGUGGCUUCCCAGGUCCCACAGACCCACUGGCUGAUGCAUUCUGAUAUCACUGGCUUAAGGAAUCUACAGAUCUGAGGAUGCCUGCCAAGUUCCUCAACUAUUCUGCAUACUUUCCUUGUGAAUGAGGCACAGCUGGGAUGGGUUCCCUGACAUUAUCCACACACUAGUAUGAGAAAUAUCUAAGCCCUUUCGACCUCAUAGGAUUGGCUGUAAACAAGACACAUUCUACUUAUUUAUGCUUUUCAACAACUGCUCUUCCAGUCCAAGGGCACUUUACAUGAAUAUGCAGUAUACCAGCCACUCUUAGAAUGACAUUGUUACUCCAGAUGGUGUAUCAUAUACAGAGUCUCUGGUAAGUGGAUUCUUUACUGAUAAAUGUCCAGAUUUUCACAUAAGAUACUUGAUAAGAUUUCAAACUGAACCUACAGUGUACAAAAUUAACCUCAGAGUUUGAUUUUCAGGGAGUCACAAACUGAAAUUCCUCAAUUUUCUAUGACCAGUAUGCUACGAGAAUCCCUAACUUUUGUAGCUGCAGGGUUGAGAUUGCUAUAAGAAUGAGAAAAGGAAUCAGAGAUUUUCAAGUACUCAAUCUCUCUUAAAAACCCACCAUUGAAAUUUCACUGCAUAAUGAAGCCCUCUACCUUCUUUGUCCAUAGAAACUGUUUUUUGCCAUCCUGAGAGCUCCCUUCCAGGAGGAAGCUGAUACUCCCCCCUCACAUCUGCUGUCAGCAGGCCAGGCACUAGGACCAGGUCCCAUUUUUCCCUGGGGUCAUAUGCAAAACCAGACAUUUCAAAAGGAAGUUUAUGUUUUGAAAACAUUGCAAGAAUUGCUUAAUUUUUAUCAACCAAAAAAAAUAAAAAGCAAACUUUUUACAAAUUGAUGUUGAGCCUAUUUGGCUCAGAAGCACGGCUGAUACUUUCAGAUGGGGUUAAAUUUGUUUCCAGGGGUGACAAUUCCCUGGUCUUUACCCUACAACUUGCUCCCUGGAACCAAUUUUCGUAUCUGUUAGGAUUCUUCAGUUGUAACAACAUAAAUCAACUCUGGAUAACUGGAUUGUUGUAGUGGUUAAUAGCUUAGGCUUUCCUAAGGUACAAAUUCUGACUCUCUAACUUACUAAUUGUCACUGGACAAUCAAACUAAUCUCCAUUUGCUCUCUGCAAAAGGGAAUAAUAAAAAUACUACAUACUUCAUAAGGCCUUGUGAAGAACAAGUGGGAAAUUACAUUUGAAGUUUUGGUACAUGGUAACAAUUGGGUAGAUUUUAAUUAUAAUUUUAUUUCUAGCUGGCCUUUCAUUUCUUGAAAGAAUCAUAAUGAUCAUUAAAUAAAUCCCUGCUGCCUCUCACCCUGGAGUCCACCACGCAGAGUUGUUGAUGUAAUAAAUAAGUUGUUUCCGAAUGAGCACUUGUACUUUGCAGUGUCAGCCCUCGUGGCGUUAAAUUUGGAGCUUAUGCUUGAAAUCGUUUGUGUUAGUCCUAGAGUGAGCAGACCUUGACACAAAGUUGGGAAUGCAAGAGGUUUAUUGGGAGGUAAUAAAAGAAGUGGGAUCACCUUCAGACUGUGAUGUAAACUCUGGUGGCAGCGAAGGGAGAGGAGGAGGAAGCAGGAUUGGGGAAGGAGAGCCUCAGACUGUGAUGCAGAGAUGACAGAACUUCAGCCAACCCAAUGCGGAGCUCUAGAGCAUAGAUUGCUCUUAGAGGAAUAUGCAGAAAUGGCCAGGCCCUGAUGUCCUUGCUGUGCUGUCAUUGGCUGGGGGAUGCCUUGGAAGAGAAUGGUUUCAGCCGGGAAGUUAAUGGCAGAUCCCAAAAGCAUGCACAGCUGAGGCUGCCAGCAAGUUCUUCCUUGAAGGGAGUUCUGAGUGGUCAGCCUCUAUGGCUGUCGUGGUCCACCCCUUGUGCUGCAUGGCAGCAGCUUCUCUAGGGUUUCAAUGAGCCUCUCUUCCUAAUGGCGAAGUUAUGGGUUCCAGCUGGUAUUCACUGUUCCCCUCCGGUGUCCAUUCUAAAUUCCUCUCUCCCUCAUCUACCCCCUCUCUGUCCUUAGUGGCUUAUCGAUUGGUUUGACACCCAUGUGCUAAUUCUAAGGACUCUGAACCCCUAGGAACCAUACUCUUCGUCUUCUCAGAUCAGGAUGGCUGCGCUUGUCCAUUUACAGUUACGAUUGGACAAGGGAAUAACCAGAAGUACCCCAGUGGGUCACCUGAGUUCCACACAUAUUCCUGCCUGUCCCAGUUGUGUCACAGCAGCCCUGCCUCCUAUGGAUCGAGCUCAGUAACUCCUGUUAAGGCAGUAACUCCUGUUCUUGCCUGCUGGUCCUAAAUAUAAAGAGACCAAAGUUCCCAGAUGGCAGCCGUGUCUUACAGAUUAAUGGAAAACUUGCUAUGUCCCUUUGCAAGGGUAUGUCCCCUUUUGGAAUCAGGACCUGUAAUCCCGCAGAGCCCAGAGCUGUUUGGACAGAAAGCACAAAGUCCCCUGAUGGGUCAUUGCAAAUGAUGUUAAGUGGGGCCACUCCUGCUUGGUUCCUGGAUCCAUGAAUUCUUCCUGUUGGGGACGUGGAAUCAAUAGGUCUCUGAUUCAGUGUGUGCACUGCAUCCUGGAGGAUGGUACCCCAUCCUUGCAGAGUAUUACCUAGGAGUUAGUACUUCUGUAGGUCAUUUCAUUAUUCUAACAGGUUGGCAGCUUCUGGAUGGAGCAAUAUAUGAUAUGACCAUUGGAGCUCAUGGUCUUGGCCCCUCCCAUCCCUCCUUCUUUUCCCUACCUGAUUGGAUGCUAUACUGUGUAGGGCUUUAAGACUGUGGAUCAGGUGCUCCCUAGCCAUGCCCUCCAAAUCUGUUCUAGGUAAGUCAUAUAAGUGACAAUAACACAAUAUUUGUUCUUCUGUAUCUGGCUUAUUUCACUUAGUAUAAUGUCUUCAAUGUUCAUCCAUGUUGUAGCAUGUGUGAGAAGAUGACUUUUUAAAAAGCUUUUUUUUUUAAAAAGCUUUUAAUUGAAGUAUGACAUACAAAGAGAAAAGUGAGUAACUCCUCCCAAGUUGAACACAUCAGGGUAAGCAGCACCUAGAUAAGAAACCUAGUAACUGGCACCACAGAAGACCCCCCAUGCUCCCUUCCAGUCCUAACCCCAGUGAUAAGCUCUAUCCUAACUUCUAAGAAUACAGAUUAAUUUCACCUAGUAUUUAACUUUAUAUAAAUGAAACCAUGCAAUAUUUAUUCUUUUUCUGUCUGCUUUCUUUUGCUCAGUAUUAUGUUUGUGGCAUUCAUCCAUAUUGUUGUGUAUAGUUAUAGUUUUUUUAUUCUUGUUGCAAUAUAUGAAUAUUCUCAUUGCUAUGUGUGAAGAGUCUCAUUCUGUUGUAUGAAUAUACCACAAUUUAUUUAUCCUUUAUACUGUCGAUGGUACUUAGGUAGUUUCUGUUUUUAGCUCUUAUAAAUGGUGCUGCUAUGAACAUUCUUGAACAUGUCUUUUGGUGAACCCAUGAGUAGAUUUAUAUUAUUUAUAUGCAUAUGUAAUAUAUGUUGAAUAUAUUGUAUAUAAUGUGAAUAUGUAAUAUGAACCUAUAUACAGGUUUCCCCUGUUAUCUGAAAGCAGAGCAUUCUUAUGAAACCUUUUGUAAGCCAAAAUGGCGAAGUGAAGAAACAAUUACCUAAGGACACAUCUUGCUAAUGGAUGCACAGGAUAAAUGGAACUAAAGCACAGAUGCUCACAGACACAGUUCAAAGCUAUGGCCGCUUGAUGCUGAGAUGCUGAGUGUAGCUCCCAGGGAAGGAGCUUGGCGGGGCCACUCUCAUUACUCAGACUCAGGGCGACAGGAGAUGAUGACUGAUGACUCAGCCUCCGUGGCUCCACUUCCCAGAGCUCCACUCACCACAUCAGUAAGCCUGGCACUGAGGGGGAGACAGAAUCACAACACGUGUUGCUGUCCAUUCUCGCAGAGAUGUCAAGAGCCAAGGCCCGAGAAGAGGAGAGAACUGGGGCAUAAAGGAAAGAAGAAAGGGAUAAAUGGCCCAUUUAAACAUGGGGCCCCAUGUGGUCCAGUCUGUAUGACAUGUCACAUUCAACUAAACACAGAUUUGACAACUGAGACAAAUCAGAAGUAUCUGGACUUUCCUGGUGGUGCAGUGGUUAAGAAUCUGCCUGCCGGUGCAGGGUUCGAGCCCUGGUCUGGGAAGCUCCCCUAUGCCACGGAGCAACUAAGCCUGCGGGCCACAACUACUGAGCCUGCGCUCUAGAGCCCGGAGGCCACAACUAUUGAGCCCGCGCACCAAGAGCCUGUGCUCUGCAGCAAGAGAAGCCACCGCAAUGAGAAGCCCGUGCACCACAACAAAGAGUAGCCUCCACUCGCUGCAACUAGAGAAAGCCCGCGCGCAGCAAAGAAGACCCAACACAGCCAAAAAUAAAGGAAAAAAACCAUAUAAGUAUAUGAUUUGAUAAGAUAAAAGCAUGACAAAAAGUUAGACUAGAAAAAAUACUAAAUACAUACUCAAUAUAUACUCAACAUUCCUAAGAGAUUGUCAGAUAAGAGUUUUUAUAGUGUGACAGAACAAAAAAAUACUUCCUCAAUGACUAGUAUAUUUAGAAAAUUUCCGUGUCAUUUGUACUUGUCUAGAAAGAGCUAUUUCAAAAGCAUCUAGCUGUCUUGAGAUUAAACUUGUCUGCCCUUGGAGAAAGAAGCAAUUGCCUGUUCACUCAUUCAUUAACUCAAAAUAUAUUUAAAUAGAAUUCACCACGUACCAAGCACAGUAUUAGGUACUAGGAGUAGGACAGAGAAUAACAUGGGGGACUUCCCUGGUGGCGUAGUGGUUAAGAAUCUGCCUGCUAAUGCAGGGGACACGGGUUCGAGCCCUGGUCCGGGAAGAUCCUACAUGCCAUGGAGCAACUAAGCCCGCGGGCCACAACUACUGAGCCUGUGCUCUAGAGCCCGCCUGCCACAACUACUGAAGCCCAUGUGCCUAGAGCCUGUGCUUAGCAACAAAGAGAAGCCACUGCAAUGAGAAGCCCGCGCACCGCAACGAAGAGUAGCCCCCACUCGCUGCAACUAGAGAGAAAGCCCGCGAGCAGCAACGAAGAGCAAUGCAUCCAAAAAUAAAUAAAUAAAUAAAUUUAUAUACAUAAAAAAAGACUAACAUGGUCCUUACCCUCAGGUAGCUUACAAUGUAAUAGGGAAAACAGACAUUGAGUAGGUUAUUACUCAUUCAGACAUUGAAUGUGUGCAUUGAGAGUUAUGAUGGAGAAGUACAUGGUGCUAUUGAAGCUAGUCAGUCAGGGAAAGCUUUAGGAAGAAUAUGAUUUUAAAUAAAAGAGGACAGAGUUGCCUUCCUUUCUUUGGCAUAUUAAACCAUAUGAAUAUCUGUUGAGCGAUCCAGGUGCUACUGCUGCCACCUCUGGGCAUGUCUUUCUCCUUUGCCUGAAAAGAAUACGUUAACCUCAGAUUAAGCAAAGAGCUCAUAAAAUGCCUGAUGGCACACCGACCAAUCAAAACAUACCAAGCAUUCUUCUCCAGAGGAUUGGGAAAGAGAUUCAUUUUGAAAUAAUUAUCUGGCAAUAGGUUCAACCUGAAAAAAAUAAACAUGAAGCCAUAAUUAUUUUUCAACAGAACUAGAGACAUUCAUCCUAGUUUUUGAAACUGUAUAUCUAUUUCAGAGCACUGGAAGCUCAAUACUAUGUUUUAUGUUCUAAGGGUAAAAACAUGAUGUCUGUUUUAUUUCACAACAUGAAUUGAAAGCAUUUGUGGGACACGAUGUUGUUUUGGUUCAAUAGAUUGUUCAAGGUUCCUUAGGAGUUUUAUCCAGUAACUGCUUUCAGCUUUAAGAUAUUAAUGUUUCCUUUUGGUUUUCAAAUCCAAAGACUGUGUAAGCAGAUUUUUCUGUUUUUGAUGCCUUAGUCUACUGCUAGGGUGGUUUAAGGUCAUCAAUCACAUAACUGAGAGCAAUAAAGGACUCUGGCUAAGAGUUUUUACACAAAUAAAACUUGCAUUGGUUUGAGUAGGGAUGGAGAUUAUUCAAGGAUUGCGGGAAUAGCUUGGAGUCAAACCUCAAAAAUGUCCCAGGUUUGCAGCUCAUGCGCUGGUUGGGAAGGCUGCCCCUCACGUUAAUUCAGGUAGGAUGCUGGCCAGGCUCAAGCUAGGAAAAUGAGAGGACCUGAUGGGAACAAUAAAGGGAUUGAUACCCUUGGGCUAUUCAGCAAGUCUUGGGAAUCUUUCUGCCAAGAAAACCUGCUCUCUCUCCUUUCUUUCUCUGGGGAUCCAAGUCCAGGGUUUGUGUUUAGGAACACAAUGAACUAAGUCAAGUUUGUCAUAGACUGUUUUCUCUCAGGACCCUUUUCCCCUUCCCGGAUCUGUUAUUUUUAUCUUCCCGUGCUCAGAAUUUUCCUACUGCCCUAUAGAGGCCCAGAGUUCACCACUGUGGAGCCCUCUUUGGUCUGCCCUACUUGGCCCAAUAUUGCUACCUGUUUUGGUAUUUUCCCCCCAAUUUUACACUUCCCCACUAUUUCAGUUUCCUAUUGUUGCAAACAAGUUCCUACAAACUUAGGGCUUAAAACUACACAAAUUUAUUAUUUUACACUUCUGGAGGUCAGAAGUCUGAAAUGGUCUCAUUGUGUUAAAAUCAAAGUCAGCAGGGCUGUGUUGCUUUCUGGAGACUCUAGGGGAGAAUCCAUUAUCUUGUCUUUGCUAGUUUCUAUAAGCGUCCUUUCAUCUUCAAAGCCAGUAAUGGCUGGUUGACUCUUUCUCGCAUCAUAUAUCUCUAACUUUGCUUUUGUCAUCACAUUCUAUUCUGACUCUUAACUCUCCUAGUAUUUCCCUUUCCAAUAAUAACACUCUUCCAUACCAUUGGAGGUAACCAUUGAAGUAACUUUUAUGGGUUCAUUACCUUUUCAUUUUAGUUUUGCCACCCAGUUACAUAUACCUAAACAAUAUAUUUUUAUCUUUGAACUUUAUAUAAGUGAAAUCACACACUACCUAUUUUAUUGUGGUUGACUUUCUCCACUUAAAUUUUUUUUUGAAAUAAACUCAAAUUUAUAGAAAAGUUGAAAAUAUGGGUCAAAACUUUUUUUUCCCUGCACUAUUUGAGAUAGAUUGCUAACAUAAUGCCCCAUCAUUUUAGAAUUUUUUAGUUCUUUUAUAAACAAGAACAUUCUGCUGCACAACCUCAAUGCAAUCAUCAAAAGCAGGCAAUUAGUCUUGGUGCAGUAACAUCUACUCCUUAGAUUCCAUUCAAGUUUUGUAAAUUGUCCUAAUAAAGUCAUAUAUAGCUAAUAGACCCCAUUCAGAACCACAUGUUGCAUUUAUUUGUCCUGUACCUUUAGUCUCCUGCAAUCCAAAAUAGUUCCUCAAAUUUUCCUUGACUUUCAGGACCGUGACACUUUUACAGAUUAUAGGUCAGUUAUUUUGUGGAAUGUCCCUUAAUUGGAGCUUAUCUGAUGUUUCCUCUUGACCAGAUUUAAUUUAUGCAUCUUGGCAGAAAAACUAUAGAAGUGAUAUUAUGUUCUUUGCAUUCUACCAGGUGGCACAUAAUUUCAAUUUGUUCCAUAUUGAUGUUGUCCAUUUUGGUCAUUUGAUUAAGCUAAGUCUGCUAGGCUUCUCAGCAGUAGAUUUACUCUUUUCCCCUUUAUAAUUAAUAGAUAUUUUAUGGGAAGAUUUUUUAUGAUAUUGAAGUACCUCAUUUAAAUAUACCACAAAACUUUCAGCUUAUUCAUUUUAAAAUGUAUAUUAAAUUUGGGUCAUGGUUUCCAAUUUUACUCAAUGGGUAAUAAUGCUUUAAUAUAUUAUUUAUUGUGAUACUCAAAUCAUCCCAGACGGGGUCCCUUCAAGAUAGUUCUUUGCCCCUUUGACAUAUCACCAUCAUUCUUUGAGAAAUUUCUCAUUUUCUGGCACAAGAAGAAAGAAUGUUCCAGGAUUGUCUUCUACUUUCCCUGCCUCUACCCUGGAACCAGCUAUACCUCUGAGAAAUUUAACUCCAAGAUUCCAUUUAAUGGAUAUUUAGAGAACAAGAUCCGGGCACUAUGUGUGCUCACUGCUACUGAGGGUACUGCUGCUCCCAUGCCCUUUUAGUGGACAUAGCUCGAGAGUAUAUGUAUGUGUAUACAUACAUUUAUAUGUAUAUAUGCAUAUAUACCUCAUAUGUAUAUAUAUAAUAUUCAUACAUAACAAUAUUCAUUUAUAUCUGUAUUUAUUUCUCUAUCAAUCUAUGUGUUAAAAACUAUGAGUCCACAAUGAUAACUCUAAUUUUAAUUGAAUACCACAGGGUUUAUUCUAGUUUUCCCUUUCCACAUUUUUACUCCCUUUCUCUGAACAAUUAGAAAGCUGCUUCCCAUUAUUCUUAACAAAUUUACUUAAUCGAUGAAUCCUUUGUGUACAACCAAUCUCUCAUCACAGCUGCUGGUCCCUCCCCUACUUUUCUGCUCUCAUCAUUUUACUGGUGCUCUGACACCAUGCAAUGGGCCUGUGACCACCCUUAUGACCCUUUGUAAUCCCUCCAACUUGCUCUUUCCUAAGCAACCACUUAUUUCUAUCUCAGUAGAUUAGUUCAAAUUUCCCACUGUAAGUGGAAUCAUACAGUGUGUACUCUUUCAUUCAGCCUAAUUAAUUUAAGAUUUAUCCAUGUUGUUGUGUUACUAGUUCAUUCCUUGUUAUUGCUGAGCUGUAUACCAUUGUAUGGAUAUAUAAAAAAUUUAUCUGUUCACCUGUUGAUGGACAUUUGUGUUGUUUCCACUUUUUGGCUAAUAAAAAUAAAGCUGCCAUAAACAUUCAUGUGCAAGUCUUUGUAUGGAUAUAUAUCUCCUUUUCUCUUGGGUAUAUACCUAUGAAUCAGAUGACUGGAUAAUAUUAUAGGUAUAUGUUUAACUUCUAAAGAAACUGCCAAAAUAUUUUCCAAAGUGGUGUACCAUUUACAUUUCUACCAGCAGUGUGUGAAAGUUUCAGGUUUUCUACAUCCUUGUCCAAACUCAAUAAGGUCAGUCUUUUUUUUUUUUUAAAUAAAUUUAUGUAUUUAUUUAUUUUUGGCUGCAUUGGGUCUUUGUUGCUGCACGCGGGCUUUCUCUAGUUGCAGUGAGUGGGGGCUACUCUUCGUUGCGGUGCGCGGGCUUCUCAUUGCGGUGGCUUCUCGUUGUGGAGCACGGACUCUAGGCACGCAGGCUUCAAUAGUUGUGGCUUGUGGGCUGUAGAGCGCAGGCUCAGUAGUUGUGGCGCACAUCCUUAGUUGCUCCGCAGCAUGUGAGAUCUUCCCUGACCAGCGAUCAAACCUGUGUCCCCUGUAUUGGCAGGAGGAUUCUUUUUUUUUUUUUUCAUCUUUAUUGGAGUAUAAUUGCUUUACAAUGUCAUGUUAGUUUCUGCUUUAUAACAAAGUGAAUCAGUUAUACAUAUACAUAUGUUCCCAUAGCUCUUCCCUCUUGCGUCUCCCUCCCUCCCACCCUCCCUAUCCCACCCCUCUAGGUGGUCACAAACCACCUAGCUGAUCUCCUUGUGCUAAGCAGCUACUUCCCACUAGCUAUCUAUUUUACAUUUGGCAGUAUAUAUAUGUCCAUGCCACUCUCUGGCAGGAGGAUUCUUAACCACUGCACCACCAGGGAAGUCCCAAGGUCAGUCGUUUUUAAUUUUAGCCAUUGUAAUAGGUAUGUAGUACCUCAUUGUGCUUUUAAUUUGCAUUUCCCUGAUGACUAAUGAUGUUGAACUUACUUUCAUAUGCCCUCUGUAUAUCUUCUUCUUUUUUUAAAAAAAUAUUGAUUUAUUUAUUUGGCUGUGCUGGGGCUUAGUUGCAGCACGUGAGAUCUUUGUUGAGGCAUGUGGGAUCUUUAUUUUUUUUUUUAGUUGUGGCAUGUGGGAUCUAGUUCCCUGACCAGGAAUGGAACCCAGGCCCCCUGCAUUGGGAGUGCGGGGGUCUUAUCCACUGGACCACCAGGGAAGUCCCUGUAUAUCUUCUUUGGUGAAGUAUUUGAUUAAAUCUUUUGCCUAAUUUUUAGUUUUGUUGUUUGUUCUCUUAUAGUUGAGUUUUGAGAGUUCUUUGUAUAUUCUGGUUACAAGUGUUUUAUCAGGUAUAUACUUUGCAAAGAUUUUUUCCCAGUAUGUGGCUUGCUUUUUCAUUCACAUUUGUUAAUUUCAUUUCAUUUUCAUUCUUUCAUUUAAGAAUGUUUCUUAAAGAGCAAAAAUUUUUAAACUUUGAUGAAGUCCAGUUUAUGAAUUUCCUUGUUAUGAAUUAUCUUUUUGGCAUCAUAUCUAAGAAAUCUUUACUUAACCCAAGUUUACCGUAAGUAUUUAAUAUUUUUGCUGCUGUUAUAAAUGGUAAGCCUUUUCAAUUUAAAUAUCCAGAUCUUUGUUGCUAGUAUAUAGAUGUAAUGCUAUUUAGUUCCUCUCCAUCAUGUUUGGAGGCACAUAAUGACUGGUUUCCCACUCUUAGUCAUGCUAAGAUUUUUUAAAAAAUAAAUUUACAUUUAUUUAUUUAUUUGUUUUUAUUUUUGGCUGUGUUGGGUCUUUGUUGCCGCGUGCGGGCUUUCUCUAGUUGUGGCGAGCGGAGGCUACUCUUUGUUGCAGUGCACGGACUUCUCAUUGCGGUGGCUUCUCUUGUUGUGGAGCAUGGGCUCUAGGCACGCAGGCUUCAGUAGUUUUGGAACGCUGGCUCGGUAGUUGUGGCUCACGGGCUUAGUUGCUCCGCAACAUGUGGGAUCUUCCUGGACCAGGGCUCAAACCUGUGUCCCCUGCAUUUGCAGGCGGAUUCUUAACCACUGUGCCACCAGGGAAGUCCCAGUCAUGCUAAGAUUUGAAUUGAGAUAGUGUAAUCAAUAUGAUCUACAGUAUCCAUGAAAAUGUUACCCAUCAACCUUUCACCUAAUAUUUCUGGACCAAAAAACAUUGCCUAAAUGAUCUAUUUUCAUUAGGGGUUGCAAACUGAUGAUAUUCUAAUGCUAUUGUUUUUCUUGCAUUUAUUAGCUGUGAUUCAUUUAUAAAGAAGAAAUUUCCUUGGUCAUUUAUUUUGUUAGCCUGAAGUAGUGUAUCAGGAAACAAUAUAAAAACUUGAUUCUUUCUUUCUUUUUUUUUUUUUUGCGGUACACGGGCCUCUCACUGUUGUGGCCUCUCCCGUUGCGGAGCACAGGCUCCAGACAUGCAGGCUCAGCGGCCAUGGCUCAUGCGCCCAGCCGCUCCGUGGCAUGUGGGAUCUUCCCGGACCAGGACACGAACCUGUGUCCCCUGCAUCGGCAGGUGGACUCUCAACCAUUGUGCCACCAGGGAAGCCCUGAUUCUUUCUUUUUAUUGAUCAUUUUUAGAAUAAAGAUUUCAUGCUCUAGCAACUUCUAAAAGUGAUGAAUGGGGACUUCCCUAGUGGUCCAGUGGUUCAGAAUCUGCCUUCCAAUGCAGGGGAUGUGGGUUUGAUCCUUGGUCAGGGAACUAAGAUCCCACGCGCUACAACUAGUGAGCCUGUGUGCUGCAACUACAGAGCCCAUGUGCUCUGGAGCCCACAUGCCACAACUAGAGAGAAGCCCACAUGCCGCAACAAAAGAUCCUGUGUUCCGCAAAUAAACCUGUCGCAGCCAAAAAUAAAUAAGUAUUAAAAAAUAAAAAUAAAAAUAAAGUGAUGAAUGAGUAUUUAUUUUUGGAUUGUCAUUAUGAACACAUGUUUUUGUAUAUAUUUCACAUACUUCAGCUUAUCAAGGCUAUUAUAUUUUAGAUGCUGGAAUUGUCCCAUCUUGGCCAGUAUGAGACCCCUUCUAAUUGGCUCCUGUGUUCUUUCAGUAUGACUCUAGUAGUAACUGAUAACUUUCUUGC